CCUACGGGUGGCAGCAGUGAGGAAUAUUGGUCAAUGGCCGUAAGGCUGAACCAGCCAAGCCGCGUGAAGGAAGACGGCCCUAUGGGUUGUAAACCUCUUUUAUAGGGGAAUAAAACUCUCCACGUGUCGCUAUUUGCAUGUAUCCGAUGAAUAAGCAUCGGCUAACUCCGUGCCAGCAGCCGCGGUAAUACGGAGGAUGCGAGCGUUAUCCGGAUUUAUUGGGUUUAAAGGGUGCGGAGGUUGUUUUUUAAGUCAGCGGUGAAAGUUUGUGGCUCAACCCCAAAAGUGCCGUUGAAACUGGAAGACUUGAGUGUGCUUGAGGUAGGCGGAAUGCGUGGUGUAGCGGUGAAAUGCAUAGAUAGCGCGCAGAACUCCGAUUGCGAAGGCAGCUUACUAAGGCAAGACUGACGCUGAAGCACGAAAGCGUGGGGAUCGAACAGGAUUAGAUACCCCAGUAGUC
This 460-nucleotide ribosomal RNA is filed under the name uncultured bacterium. RNAcentral describes it as "partial 16S ribosomal RNA". It matches the Rfam family "Bacterial small subunit ribosomal RNA", at positions 338 to 795 of the family's 1533-position model. The record is from RNAcentral.